GUCUACAGCAAUGUCACCCUGAACAAACCCGAUUCCGUCUGAUCUUGGAAGCUAAGGAGAGUCAGGCAUGGUCAGUACGUGGAUGGGAGACCACCUAGGAAGACCAGGUGCUGUAAGCG
This 119-nucleotide ribosomal RNA is filed under the name Pteropus alecto (black flying fox). The record is from RNAcentral. Lineage: Eukaryota; Metazoa; Chordata; Mammalia; Chiroptera; Pteropodidae.